UAUGGGUCACAUUGUGUGUGGGGCACAUCUCUGGGGCACAUCUCUGGGGCACAUGUGUGGGGCACAUGUGUGGGGCACAUCUAUGGGGCACAUCAUCUGUGGGGCACAUGUGUGGGGCACAUCUAUGGGGCACAUGUGUGGGGCACAUGUGUGGGGCACAUGUGUGGGGUGUAUCUAUGGGGCACAUGUGUGGGGCACAUGUGUGGGGCACAUCAUGUGUGGGGCACAUCAUGUGUGGGGCACACGUGUGGGGCACAUCAUCUCUGGGGCACAUCAUCUCUGGGGCACAUGUGUGGGGCACAUGUGUGGGGUGUAUCUAUGGGGCACAUGUGUGGGGCACAUGUGUGGGGCACAUCCAUGGGGCACAUCAUCUCUGGGGCACAUCUAUGGGGCACAUCAUCUCUGGGGCACAUCUCUGGGGCACAUGUGUGGGGCACAUCUAUGGGGCACAUGUGUGGGGCACAUCAUCUAUGGGGCACAUGUGUGGGGCACACGUGUGGGGCACAUGUGUGGGGCACAUCCAUGGGGCACAUCUUCUAUGGGGCACAUGUGUGGGGCACAUCUCUGGGGCACGUGUGUGGGGCACAUGUGUGGGGCACAUCUAUGGGACACAUCUCUGGGGCACAUCAUCUCUGGGGCACAUGUGUGGGGCACAUCAUCUGUGGGGCACACGUGUGGGGCACAUCUCUGGGGCACAUCUAUGGGGCACAUCUAUGGGGCACAUCUGUGGGGCACAUCAUCUGUGGGGCACAUCUAUGGGGCACAUCUCUGGGGCACAUGUGUGGGGCACAUCUCUGGGGCACAUGUGUGGGGCACAGGUGUGGGGCACAUCAUCUCUGGGGCACAUCUUCUCUGGGGCACAUGUGUGGGGCACAUGUGUGGGCUGUAUCUAUGGGGCACAUGUGUGGGGUGUAUCUAUGGGGCACAUGUGUGGGGUGUAUCUAUGGGGCACAUGUGUGGGGCACAUGUGUGGGGCACAUGUGUGGGGCACACAUCUCUGGGGCACAUGUGUGGGGCACAUCUCUGGGGCACAUGUGUGGGGCACAUCUAUGGGGCACAUGUGUGGGGCACAGGUGUGGGGCACAUCUAUGGGGCACGUGUGGGGCACAUCAUCUCUGGGGCACAUGUGUGGGGCACAUGUGUGGGGUGUAUCUAUGGGGCACAUCACAUCAUCUGUGGGGCACAUCAUCUAUGGGGCACAUCUAUGGGGCACAUUGUGUGUGGGGCACAUCUAUGGGGCACAUCAUCUGUGGGGCACAUCUAUGGGAAACAUCUAUGGGGCA
Molecule: long non-coding RNA, 1283 nt
Filed under: Numida meleagris (helmeted guineafowl)
Lineage: Eukaryota; Metazoa; Chordata; Aves; Galliformes; Numididae
Description: lncRNA (ENSNMEG00000001576.1)
Source: RNAcentral